GGAAAACUCAAUAGGAAAGCUGAGCUCUAUUCUUUUUUUUUUUAAUUUUUAAACAUUAUUUUAUUUGGUCGUUUUCAUACAUUAUUCACUGGAAACAAAGAUCAUUUUCUUUUCCUCCCCUCCCCCCCCUUUCCCUCUCCCAUAGCCAAUGCAUGAUUCCACUGGUUAUCACUGGUUAUGUUCUUUAUUCGAACCCAUUUCCCUGUUGUUGGAAUUUGCAUUAUAGUAUUCAUUUAGAGUCUCUCCUCAGUCUUAUCUCCUCCAACCCUGUAGUCAAGCAGUUGCUUUUCAUCGGUGUUUUUACUCCCACAGUUUAUCCUCUGCUUGUGGGUAGUAUUUUUUAGAUUCCGGCAGAUUGUUCAGGGACAUUGCAUUGACACUAAUGGAGAAGUCCACCACCUUCGAUUGUACCACAAUGUAUCAGUCUCUGUGUACAAUGUUUUCCUGGUUCUGCUCCUCUCACUCUGCAUCACUUCCUGGAGGUUGUUCCAGUCUCCAUGGAACUCCUCCACUUUAUUAUUCCUUUGAGCACAAUAGUAUUCCAUCACCAACAUAUACCACAAUUCAGCCAUUCCCCGAUUGAAGGGCAUCCCCUCAUUUUCCAAUUUUUGGCCACCACAAAGAGAGCAGCUAUGAAUAUUCUUGUACAAGUCUUUUUCCUUAUUAUCUCUUUGGGGUACAAACCCAGCAGUGCUAUGGCUGGAUCAAAGGGCAGACAGUCUUUUAUCUCCCUUUGGGCAUAGUUCCAAAUUGCCCUCCAGAAUGGUUGAACCAAUUCACAACUCCACCAGCAAUGCAUUAAUGUCCCUACUUCGCCACAUCCCCUCCAGCAUUCAUUACUUUCCUUUGCUAUCAUGUUAGCCAAUCUGCUAAGUGUGAGGUGAUACAUCAGAGUUGUUUUGAUUUGCAUCUCUCCAAUUAUUGCCUAUUCAUGUCCCUUGCCCAUUUAUCAAUUGAGGAAUGGCUUUAUUUUUUGGACAAUUGAUUUAGCUCUUUAUAAAUUUGAGUAAUUAAGCCUUUGUCAGAGGUUUUUCUUAUGAAGAUUUUUUCCCAAUUUAUUGCUUCCUUUCUAAUUUUGGUUACAUUGGUUUUGUUUGUACAAAAACUUUUUAAUUUAAUGUAAUCAAAAUUAUUUAUUUUACAUUUUGUGAUUUUUUUCUCUAACUCUGAUUUGGGCUUAAAAUCUUUCCUUAUCCAAAGAUCUGACAUGUAUACUAUUCUGUGUUCACCUAAUUUACUUAUAGUUUCCUUCUUUAUAUUCAAGUCAUUCACCCAUUCUGAGUUUAUCUUGGUGUAGGGUAUGAGAUGUUGAUCCAAAUCUAAUCUCUCCCACACUGUCUUCCAAUUUUCCCAGCAGUGGGAAAUAGUGGAUUUUUGUCCCAAAAGCUGGCAUCUUUGGGCUUAUCAUAGACUUGUCUUGCUGAGGUCACUUACUCCAAGUCUAUUCCACUGAUCCACCUUUCUGUCUCUUAGCCAGUAUCAUAUUGUUUUGAUGACCGCUGCUUUAUAGUAUAGACUGAGAUCUGGUACUGCAAGGCCACCUUCCGUCACUUUUUUUCCCCCUGGAUAUCCUUGAUCUUUUGUUCUUCCAAAUGAACUUUGUGAUGUUUUUUUUCUAAAUCAGUAAAAAAGUUUUUUGGUAGUUCGAUGGGUAUGGCACUAAAUAAGUAAAUUAAUUUGGGUAGGAUGGUCAUUUUUAUUAUGUUAGCUCGUCCUACCUAUGAACAAUCAAUGUUUUUCCAA
Molecule: long non-coding RNA, 1743 nt
Organism: Monodelphis domestica (gray short-tailed opossum)
Lineage: Eukaryota; Metazoa; Chordata; Mammalia; Didelphimorphia; Didelphidae
Source: Ensembl